UUUCCGUAGGUGAACCUGCGGAAGGAUCAUUGUCGUGACCCUGACCAAAACAGACCGCGCACGCGUCAUCCAAUCCGCCGGUGACGGCAGCGUCUGUUGCUCGGCCAAGUCCUCGACCGCCUCCCCUCCUCGGAGUGGGGGCUCGGGGUAAAAGAACCCACGGCGCCGAAGGCGUCAAGGAACACUGUGCCUAACCCGGGGGCAUGGCUAGCUUGCUAGUCGUCCCCCGUGUUGCAAAGCUAUUUAAUCCACACGACUCUCGGCAACGGAUAUCUCGGCUCUC
This 283-nucleotide unclassified non-coding RNA is filed under the name root metagenome. RNAcentral's name for it is "partial contains small subunit ribosomal RNA, internal transcribed spacer 1, and 5.8S ribosomal RNA". The record is from RNAcentral.